GACGAACGCUGGCGGCGUGCCUAAUACAUGCAAGUAGAACGCACAGUUUAUACCGUAGCUUGCUACACCAUAGACUGUGAGUUGCGAACGGGUGAGUACCGCGUAGGUAACCUGCCUGGUAGCGGGGGAUAACUAUUGGAAACGAUAGCUAAUACCGCAUAAUAUUGAUUAUUGCAUGAUAAUUGAUUGAAAGAUGCUAUUGCAUCACUACCAGAUGGACCUGCGUUGUAUUAGCUAGUAGGUGAGGUAACGGCUCACCUAGGCGACGAUACAUAGCCGACCUGAGAGGGUGAUCGGCCACACUGGGACUGAGACACGGCCCAGACUCCUACGGGAGGCAGCAGUAGGGAAUCUUCGGCAAUGGACGAAAGUCUGACCGAGCAACGCCGCGUGAGUGAAGAAGGUUUUCGGAUCGUAAAGCUCUGUUGUAAGAGAAGAACGGGUGUGAGAGUGGAAAGUUCACACUGUGACGGUAUCUUACCAGAAAGGGACGGCUAACUACGUG
RNAcentral lists this ribosomal RNA (505 nucleotides) under uncultured bacterium. RNAcentral describes it as "partial 16S ribosomal RNA". It matches the Rfam family "Bacterial small subunit ribosomal RNA", at positions 28 to 507 of the family's 1533-position model. The record is from RNAcentral.